This 292-nucleotide ribosomal RNA is filed under the name uncultured bacterium. RNAcentral describes it as "partial 16S ribosomal RNA". It matches the Rfam family "Bacterial small subunit ribosomal RNA", at positions 505 to 796 of the family's 1533-position model. The record is from RNAcentral.
GUGUCAGCCGCCGCGGUAAUACGGAGGGGGCUAGCGUUGUUCGGAAUUACUGGGCGUAAAGCGCACGUAGGCGGGUCGCUAAGUCGGGGGUGAAAUCCUGGGGCUCAACCUCAGAACUGCCUUCGAUACUGGCGACCUUGAGUACGGGAGAGGUGAGUGGAAUUCCCAGUGUAGAGGUGAAAUUCGUAGAUAUUGGGAAGAACACCAGUGGCGAAGGCGGCUCACUGGCCCGUAACUGACGCUGAGGUGCGAAAGCGUGGGGAGCAAACAGGAUUAGAUACCCUAGUAGUCC